CGUGUAGGCGGUUAGGCAAGUCAGGUGUGAAAUCCCUUGGCUCAACCAAGGAAGUGCGCUUGAAACUGCUUAACUAGAGUACAGGAGGGGAAAGUGGAAUUCCCAGUGUAGAGGUGAAAUUCAUAGAGUAUUGGGAGGAACACCGGUAGCGAAGGCGGCUUUCUGGCCUGAUACUGACGCUGAGACGCGAAAGCGUGGGGAGCAAACA
This 208-nucleotide ribosomal RNA is filed under the name uncultured bacterium. RNAcentral describes it as "partial 16S ribosomal RNA". It matches the Rfam family "Bacterial small subunit ribosomal RNA", at positions 568 to 774 of the family's 1533-position model. The record is from RNAcentral.